UGGGGAAUUUUGGACAAUGGGCGAAAGCCUGAUCCAGCAAUGCCGCGUGUGUGAAGAAGGCCUUCGGGUUGUAAAGCACUUUUGUCCGGAAAGAAAUCCUUGGCUCUAAUACAGUCGGGGGAUGACGGUACCGGAAGAAUAAGCACCGGCUAACUACGUGCCAGCAGCCGCGGUAAUACGUAGGGUGCAAGCGUUAAUCGGAAUUACUGGGCGUAAAGCGUGCGCAGGCGGUUUGCUAAGACCGAUGUGAAAUCCCCGGGCUCAACCUGGGAACUGCAUUGGUGACUGGCAGGCUAGAGUAUGGCAGAGGGGGGUAGAAUUCCACGUGUAGCAGUGAAAUGCGUAGAGAUGUGGAGGAAUACCGAUGGCGAAGGCAGCCCCCUGGGCCAAUACUGACGCUCAUGCACGAAAGCGUGGGGAGCAAACAGGAUUAGAUACCCUGGUAGUCCACGCCCUAAACGAUGUCAACUAGUUGUUGGGGAUUCAUUUCCUUAGUAACGUAGCUAACGCGUGAAGUUGACCGCCUGGGGAGUACGGUCGCAAGAUUAAAAUUUAAAGGAAUUGAC
This 566-nucleotide ribosomal RNA is filed under the name uncultured bacterium. RNAcentral describes it as "partial 16S ribosomal RNA". It matches the Rfam family "Bacterial small subunit ribosomal RNA", at positions 355 to 914 of the family's 1533-position model. The record is from RNAcentral.